UACGUAGGUGGCAAGCGUUAUCCGGAUUUAUUGGGCGUAAAGGGAACGCAGGCGGUCUUUUAAGUCUGAUGUGAAAGCCUUCGGCUUAACCGGAGUAGUGCAUUGGAAACUGGGAGACUUGAGUGCAGAAGAGGAGAGUGGAACUCCAUGUGUAGCGGUGAAAUGCGUAGAUAUAUGGAAGAACACCAUUGGCGAAAGCGGCUCUCUGGUCUGUAACUGACGCUGAGGUUCGAAAGCGUGGGUAGCAAACAGG
RNAcentral lists this ribosomal RNA (253 nucleotides) under uncultured bacterium. RNAcentral's name for it is "partial 16S ribosomal RNA". It matches the Rfam family "Bacterial small subunit ribosomal RNA", at positions 524 to 776 of the family's 1533-position model. The record is from RNAcentral.